UACGGAGGGUGCGAGCGUUGUCCGGAGUCAUUGGGCGUAAAGGGCGCGUAGGUGGCGGGACAAGCGUGCGGUGAAAGCUCGGGGCUCAACCCCGAGUCGGCCGUGCGAACUGUUUUGCUUGAGCACUGUAGAGGCAGGCGGAAUUCCGGGUGUAGCGGUGGAAUGCGUAGAUAUUCGCAAGAACACCAGUGGCGAAGGCGGCUCACUGGCCCGAUACUGACGCUCAGACACGACAGCAUGGGGAGCGAACGGG
RNAcentral lists this ribosomal RNA (253 nucleotides) under uncultured bacterium. RNAcentral describes it as "partial 16S ribosomal RNA". It matches the Rfam family "Bacterial small subunit ribosomal RNA", at positions 524 to 776 of the family's 1533-position model. The record is from RNAcentral.